This 253-nucleotide ribosomal RNA is filed under the name uncultured bacterium. RNAcentral describes it as "partial 16S ribosomal RNA". It matches the Rfam family "Bacterial small subunit ribosomal RNA", at positions 524 to 776 of the family's 1533-position model. The record is from RNAcentral.
UACGUAGGGUGCAAGCGUUAAUCGGAAUUACUGGGCGUAAAGCGUGCGCAGGCGGUUUUGUAAGUCUGUCGUGAAAUCCCCGGGCUUAACCUGGGAAUUGCGAUGGAGACUGCAAGGCUGGAGUCUGGCAGAGGGGGGUAGAAUUCCACGUGUAGCAGUGAAAUGCGUAGAGAUGUGGAGGAACACCGAUGGCGAAGGCAGCCCCCUGGGUCAAAACUGACGCUCAUGCACGAAAGCGUGGGGAGCAAACAGG